RNAcentral lists this ribosomal RNA (253 nucleotides) under uncultured bacterium. RNAcentral describes it as "partial 16S ribosomal RNA". It matches the Rfam family "Bacterial small subunit ribosomal RNA", at positions 524 to 776 of the family's 1533-position model. The record is from RNAcentral.
UACGUAGGGUGCAAGCGUUGUCCGGAAUUAUUGGGCGUAAAGAGCUCGUAGGCGGUCUGUCGCGUCGGCUGUGAAAACCCGGAGCUCAACUCCGGGCCUGCAGUCGAUACGGGCAAACUGGAGUGUUGCAGGGGAGACUGGAAUUCCUGGUGUAGCGGUGAAAUGCGUAGAUAUGUGGAGGAACACCUGUGGCGAAGGCGCCUUGCUGGCCAAUUUCUGACGCUGAGGCGCGAAAGCGUGGGGAGCAAACAGG